AAAAGAAAAGCUUUCUUUUCUUCACCUGCAGUGCCCACCUGCUCUGUCUCUCACCUGCUCUCUGUCUCUUUGUUCUAUGGUACCCUCCUCUUCAUGUACGUGAGUCAUGGGUCUACACCAGGUGAAAACCAGGAUAAAAUGUAUUCUCUGUUCUACACAGUUGUGAUUCCUCUGCUAAACCCCUUUAUUUACAGCUUAAGAAACAAGGAAGUUUUGUGUGCUUUGAGAAAAGUCAUUAAAUAA
Molecule: long non-coding RNA, 243 nt
Filed under: Mus musculus (house mouse)
Lineage: Eukaryota; Metazoa; Chordata; Mammalia; Rodentia; Muridae
Description: long non-coding RNA chr5:106906737-106906980
Source: RNAcentral